GAUGAACGCUGGCGGCGUGCCUAAUACAUGCAAGUCGAGCGAACAGACGAGGAGCUUGCUCCUCUGACGUUAGCCGCGGACGGGUGAGUAACACGUGUAUAACCUACCUAUCAGACUGGGAUAACUUCGGGAAACCGGAGCUAAUACCGGAUAAUCUCUUGAACCGCAUGGUUCAAUAGUGAAAGACGGUUUUGCUGUCACUUCUAGCUGCAUCCCGGCCGGAUUGGCUAGUUGUUAAGGUAACGGGCUACCAAGGCAACUAGGCGUAGCCGAGCUGAGAGACGGGUAGGCCACAUUGGAACUUGGACACGGUCCAGACUACUACGGGAGGCAGCAGUAGGGAAUCUGCCGCAAUGGGCGAAAGCCUGACGGAGCAACGCCGCGUGAGUGAUGAAGGUCUUCGGAUCGUAAAACUCUGUUAUUAGGGAAGAACAAAUGUGUAAGUAACUAUGCACGUCUUGACGGUACCUAAUCAGAAAGCCACGGCUAACUACGUG
RNAcentral lists this ribosomal RNA (497 nucleotides) under uncultured bacterium. RNAcentral's name for it is "partial 16S ribosomal RNA". It matches the Rfam family "Bacterial small subunit ribosomal RNA", at positions 28 to 507 of the family's 1533-position model. The record is from RNAcentral.